AUGCUUCGCAAGCCUGCCAUGGAGGUCGCCGUAAAGAGGAUGUCACACGAUUCAAGGCAAGGAGUAAGGGAGUUCAUUGCAGAGGUGGUGAGCAUUGGUCGUCUUCGACACCGACAUAUCACACAAUUGUUAGGCUACUGCAGACGGAAGGGUGAGCUUCUCCUGGUUUAUGAUUACAUGGAAAAUGAUAGUCUUGACAAGUAUCUGCACACAAGAAAUGGCCCAACGCUAUGUUGGUCCCAGAGGUAUUCAAUCAUCAAAGGUGUGGCAUCAAGUUUAUUGUAUCUACAUGAGGAAUGGGAGCAGGUUGUCAUUCACCGAGAUAUAAAGGCAAGCAAUGUGCUAUUGGAUAGUAAGAUGAAUGGAUGGUUAGGCGAUUUUGGUUUGGCAAGGAUAUAUGACCAUGAAAACACCGCUGAAACCACCCAUGUGGCUGGCACCAUGGGAUAUCUUGCGCCUGAACUCUCACGCGCGGGGAGGCCAACACCCUUCUCCGAUGUGUACGCAUUUGGCGUGUUUCUCCUAGAGGUCACAUGUGGACGCAAGCCAAUCUUCAUCGAUGAGCAGAACAGUCGGGUGUUGUUGAUCGAGUGGGUGCUUGAGCACCACCACAACGGCUCAAUGCUCGACAUGGUGGAUCCACGACUCGGGCGGGAAUUCAACACGGAAGAGGUAACCAUCGUGCUCAAAUUAGGUUUGCUAUGCACAUAUCCAUUGCCCAACGCGCGGCCUAUCAUGCGAAAGGUCAUGCAGUACCUCGACCAUGAUCAAUUGCCUCCUGAUUUAUCACCAGCCUACAUAAGCUACAUCAUGAUGGCCCAAAUGCAAAAUGAAGGGUUUGAUUCGCACAACAUGCCAUGUUCUCAACCCAUAGCGAGUGUUGCCACUGUAUCAGGAGAGUCCUCGGCGACUAUUUUGCGAGAGGGAAGAUGA
Molecule: ribosomal RNA, 933 nt
Filed under: Triticum aestivum (bread wheat)
Lineage: Eukaryota; Viridiplantae; Streptophyta; Magnoliopsida; Poales; Poaceae
Description: partial small subunit ribosomal RNA
Source: RNAcentral